RNAcentral lists this ribosomal RNA (497 nucleotides) under uncultured bacterium. RNAcentral describes it as "partial 16S ribosomal RNA". It matches the Rfam family "Bacterial small subunit ribosomal RNA", at positions 28 to 507 of the family's 1533-position model. The record is from RNAcentral.
GAUGAACGCUGGCGGCGUGCCUAAUACAUGCAAGUAGAACGCUGAAGGAAGGAGCUUGCUCUUUCCGGAUGAGUUGCGAACGGGUGAGUAACGCGUAGGUAACCUGCCUGGUAGCGGGGGAUAACUAUUGGAAACGAUAGCUAAUACCGCAUAACAGUAGAUGUUGCAUGAUAUCUACUUAAAAGGUGCAAUUGCACCACUACCAUAUGGACCUGCGUUGUAUUAGCUAGUUGGUGAGGUAACGGCUCACCAAGGCGACGAUACAUAGCCGACCUGAGAGGGUGGUCGGCCACACUGGGACUGAGACACGGCCCAGACUCCUACGGGAGGCAGCAGUAGGGAAUCUUCGGCAAUGGACGGAAGUCUGACCGAGCAACGCCGCGUGAGUGAAGAAGGUUUUCGGAUCGUAAAGCUCUGUUGUAAGAGAAGAACGAGUGUGAGAGUGGAAAGUUCACACUGUGACGGUAUCUUACCAGAAAGGGACGGCUAACUACGUG